UACGGAGGGGGCGAGCGUUAUUCGGAAUUAUUGGGCGUAAAGGGCGCGUAGGCGGCGCGGUAAGUCAAAGGUGAAAUCCCUCGGCUCAACUGAGGAACUGCCUUUGAGACUGCCGGGCUCGAGGCCGGGAGGGGGUAGCGGAAUUCCCAGUGUAGCGGUGAAAUGCGUAGAUAUUGGGAGGAACACCAGUGGCGAAGGCGGCUACCUGGACCGGUUCUGACGCUGAUGCGCGAAAGCGUGGGUAGCAAACAGG
Molecule: ribosomal RNA, 253 nt
Filed under: uncultured bacterium
Lineage: Bacteria
Description: partial 16S ribosomal RNA
Rfam family: Bacterial small subunit ribosomal RNA
Source: RNAcentral